Oreochromis aureus is the source of this 1392-nucleotide long non-coding RNA. RefSeq lists it as uncharacterized. Lineage: Eukaryota; Metazoa; Chordata; Actinopteri; Cichliformes; Cichlidae. The record is from RefSeq and is a predicted model, not a curated record. The transcript has 3 exons.
AAUGUUAAUGAUAUGUUAAUGUAUAUCACUUGUUCACAGAAAUAAAGCGAAUUGCAGUAAGAGCAGACCAAUACUUGGUAAGUAGGCUAAAGUCAUUAAACAAUAUUGAUGUUAGCCACACUUGGCCCAUUUGCAGUAACACUGGUUGAUAAAGGAUCUUUGUUAGCAGUUAACCUGUUAUUUAUUUCUUCAUGUAGCUGCUAAGUAAUGUUAACUUGUAAGUAAUGUUUCUAUUUUAUAUUUUUAAAAAACUAAAGUACAUCCACAGUUAACUCUUUUUUCAAUUGUUUCCUUUUUUAUUUUUUCCUCUUUGUUUUGUGAACAGAAUAUGCUGCUGCGGGUUUUGUUUGGUAGGGAGCAUAAGUAUGUUAUGCUGUCUGACCUAACAUUUGAUGCUGUCAUGAAAGAAGGUUAGAAUAUCAGGAUAAAACAAUAUAUCAAUUUUUACUUGUUCAAUACACCAACUUCAUUAUAAAACCAUAUUCUUACUCAACUACCUAAGUUGACAAGACAACCUAAAAGGCCAUGCCAUAUAAACUAUGAGGCAAAAACUCUGGGUAGUGGAUACUGUUAAGUCUCAUCUGGAUGUUUGAUGUGAAGUGUUUUUAUGUAAUUGUUUUCUAGUCUUUUUUAAGGUUUAAAAAUUUCUGACUUCAUAUUGAAAAAAAUCUUAACAACAAAGCCCGGUGGUGAACACAUCAUACAAGAGUAUGCAAAAACCAAAUCUCUGACAGAUGCAACCAGAAGACAGAUGAUAAACAUACUUGCGGCUGAGAUGACAGAAGCACAUGGGAACAUUACUACAAUCCAGAAAGCGGUUCAGGAUACCUUGCAUGGUGGUUAAAGACCAUUCAAAGAAAAGCUGCAAAGGAAAGAAGCGUCUCAGUUUGCAAAUCUCGCAAAAGCUGAGACAGUGACAUGUCUGCUUUCUCGCUGCUGCUAAAUCUGCUACCACCAUCAGCACAAGGGCGAAAGAGACCAGGAAAGAUGUCUGCAUCUCAAGCUGUCGAUAAACUCAUCAAAUUCCUAAAAGUAUGUUUAAAAUAUAUGUUCCAUCACCUCCAUUUUCAUGAACAGUGAGGUGAUCUAAUCUACUGUCAGAGCAUAGUCACUAAAUACUGCUGUUUAAUGUGUUGUUGUAGGCUGGAACCAGUGUACAGCAGCAUCUAGACAACAUCACCGGAAGCAGUCAGCCCUACAUUCGUGCUCAGGGACCCAUAAGAAGCAGCAUUCACGCCUUCAUUGUAAUUGACAAGCAUGCACUUCCAUGUAAAGUGGCAGGUUCACUAGGAGCCCUUGAUGAACUCUUUAAGGCCCAUUAUGUCUUUGGUACAUCAUACCGUUCAUCCCUGACCAACUUUUUCACUUUUCUGCAAACAACUAUUUACAACA